GGCAAUGGUCCAGUGGAUAGGACACUGGACUGGGAAUCCAGGAGGCUUGGAUUCUACUUCCAGCUUAGCCA
This 71-nucleotide transfer RNA is filed under the name Chelonia mydas (Green sea turtle). It matches the Rfam family "tRNA". From Rfam's summary of the family: Transfer RNA (tRNA) molecules are approximately 80 nucleotides in length. The record is from Rfam by way of RNAcentral. Lineage: Eukaryota; Metazoa; Chordata; Testudines; Cheloniidae.